RNAcentral lists this ribosomal RNA (197 nucleotides) under uncultured bacterium. Its description in RNAcentral is "partial 16S ribosomal RNA". It matches the Rfam family "Bacterial small subunit ribosomal RNA", at positions 328 to 539 of the family's 1533-position model. The record is from RNAcentral.
ACGCUCGACACCUACGGAGGCAGCAGUGGGGAAUAUUGCACAAUGGGGGAAACCCUGAUGCAGCAACGCCGCGUGAGUGAAGAAGUAUUUCGGUAUGUAAAGCUCUAUCAGCAGGGAAGAUAAUGACGGUACCUGACUAAGAAGCUCCGGCUAAAUACGUGCCAACAGCCGCGGUAAUCUGAGCGGGCUGGCAAGGC